CGAGCGGUAAGGCCCUUCGGGGUACACGAGCGGCGAACGGGUGAGUAACACGUGGGUGAUCUGCCUCGCACUUCGGGAUAAGCCUGGGAAACUGGGUCUAAUACCGGAUAUGACCUUUCAGUGCAUGCUGUUGGGUGGAAAGAUUUAUCGGUGCGAGAUGGGCCCGCGGCCUAUCAGCUUGUUGGCGGGGUAACGGCCCACCAAGGCGACGACGGGUAGCCGACCUGAGAGGGUGACCGGCCACACUGGGACUGAGACACGGCCCAGACUCCUACGGGAGGCAGCAGUGGGGAAUAUUGCACAAUGGGCGGAAGCCUGAUGCAGCGACGCCGCGUGAGGGAUGACGGCCUUCGGGUUGUAAACCUCUUUCGACAGGGACGAAGCGCAGGUGACGGUACCUGUAGAAGAAGCACCGGCCAACUACGUGCCAGCAGCCGCGGUAAUACGUAGGGUGCGAGCGUUGUCCGGAAUUACUGGGCGUAAAGAGCUUGUAGGCGGUUUGUCGCGUCCUCCGUGAAAACUUGGGGCUCAACCCCAAGC
This 540-nucleotide ribosomal RNA is filed under the name Nocardia brasiliensis. RNAcentral describes it as "bacterial SSU rRNA". It matches the Rfam family "Bacterial small subunit ribosomal RNA", at positions 63 to 620 of the family's 1533-position model. Lineage: Bacteria; Bacillati; Actinomycetota; Actinomycetes; Mycobacteriales; Nocardiaceae. The record is from RNAcentral.